This 203-nucleotide unclassified non-coding RNA is filed under the name Hevea brasiliensis (rubber tree). Lineage: Eukaryota; Viridiplantae; Streptophyta; Magnoliopsida; Malpighiales; Euphorbiaceae. The record is from RNAcentral.
GGACUGCUGCUGCUCAAAGACGGUGUUGGUAUUGAUUUAGAAGAUGCAUCUCCUUCCUCAACAGUGGAACCUUCUGAUUCAAGUCUGGUCGUAAGCGGUGACACAAUGGCUUUUGCCGGCUUCCUUUUCUCGAGGAAGGAGUCAAAAGCUUUGGAAGAGUCAGGCUUUUGGAGAAGAACAGUCUUUGUGGCUUUUAGGAUUUC